UCCCUGGUGGUCUAGUGGUUAGGAUUCAGUGCUUUCACUGCCGUGGCCCGGGUUCAAUCCCUGGCUGGGGAA
Molecule: non-coding RNA, 72 nt
Organism: Lipotes vexillifer (Yangtze River dolphin)
Lineage: Eukaryota; Metazoa; Chordata; Mammalia; Artiodactyla; Lipotidae
Source: the annotation of a RefSeq genome assembly